Molecule: ribosomal RNA, 323 nt
Filed under: uncultured Chloroflexota bacterium
Lineage: Bacteria; Bacillati; Chloroflexota
Description: bacterial SSU rRNA
Rfam family: Bacterial small subunit ribosomal RNA
Source: RNAcentral
GAUAAACGCUGGCGGCGUGCCUAAUACAUGCAAGUCGAACGGAAGUUUGUAGCAAUACGGACUUUAGUGGCGAAUGGGUGAGUAACGCGUUGGUGAUCUGCCCCAAAGAGGGGGAUAACAGCUCGAAAGGGCUGCUAAUACCCCAUGUGGUUCUAGAGGUUAGAGCUCUAGAACUAAAGGAGCAAUCCGCUUCGGGAGGAGCCUGCGUCCCAUCAGCUAGUUGGUAGGGUAAUGGCCUACCAAGGCUACGACGGGUCGGGGGCCUGAGAGGGUGGCCCCCCACACUGGCACUGAAACACGGGCCAGACACCUACGGGUGGCAG